Molecule: long non-coding RNA, 2994 nt
Organism: Mastomys coucha (southern multimammate mouse)
Lineage: Eukaryota; Metazoa; Chordata; Mammalia; Rodentia; Muridae
Exons: 4
Source: RefSeq, a predicted model, not a curated record
AGGUUAUUUCUCUUCCAAUGGCUUUUCAAUAUUUUUGAUUGCCUUAUCAGAGUCAUCAGUAAGGAACUCCUGAGGAGCAACCAUAUCACCUGGAUCUUGGGUCCUCAGCUGGUGAACAAGAGGAGAAUGGAGGCUUCAUUAAUUCUAAAGAGUACCUGAGACUGUCAGCUCAUCAGAAGCCAAGACAGACUCAAAACCCCAGGAUCAUACAGUGGAGAACAGCAUCCGGAUGGCUGUGGUUGGCUUGGUUCUCAUUCUUUUUGGGAUUCUGCAUUUAAAGGCCUGGCACAAUCAGAGACGGAUCUGAUACUCAUCUGGGAGACAAGCAGAAGAGAGCAGCAUAUCCCUUCCUGGUGACAGAUUCUGGGAAAUAUGUCUGAGGAUUCAAAGUGUUUGUUUAAGAAACUCUGGAGCUUAUGUUGUCAGUGUUGUUCAAGGAGUAAGUGUGUUUGGGUUCAGGGAGAGGACAUGGAGUACAGAACAUUGCCACACUAGAUUAAGACUAUUUCUCUUUACCUUGCUGUGGGCUUUUGUUGACUGAUGCCUCUUCUCUUCUUACUACAUGACAGUAGGGAAAAUCCUGUCCUAAAGAUCCUUAACUUCAUGUUUCUCCUACUUUCUCCUAUCUUAAUGUAAGAUUUUCAUUCAUUAUAAAUCACCAAAUUCCUCACUGUACUUGGAGAGCUUGUGCGUUUUAUGGAGAACAAGGUAUUUGGCUCAAUAACAAUAACUACAAGCAUAUAUCAGAUUUCAAAACAAAUUAACUGAAUAACAAUCAGGUCUUGAAACUCUCUUUGGGAUCCUGGGAUCCUUCACUCACCACCACAUGCUUAUUGUGUGGCCUUUCAAAACUGUAAAGACUUGCCAGCCACCAACACACUGGUGUUUGAAGGAGUUCUGUGGUGGGGCACUGUUGAUAUGCUUUGUAAUAUCAUUUUUCUCAGAGUCCUGAUGUGUGAUUGCUGUGUAUACUAUAAUCUUUUCAUGGCCAACUGUAUAGCAGCCAUGCAAAACCAUGUAUGUAUGAGAGGUUUUGAAAUAAUACAUAAUGUUGAUGUACUUUCAGUUAAACUAUCAAUUGUUGCCAUAUGCAAAAGCAAUUGACAUUGUAAUAAAUCAACCUUGAGUUAUUUUGAUAUAAUCACUUCUUUGGGGAUGGGAUAGGUGGCUCAGUGGUUUUGAGCACUGGCAGCUCCUCAAGAGGCUUCUGAUUCAAUUUCCAGCAUCCACAUGGAGGAUCAUAACUCCAGUUCCAGGUAUUCUGACAUCUGGUCUCUGUGAGUAUGAAUAUCCAUGUAGGCAAAAUGCACACACACACACACACACACACACACACACACACACACACAUACACACACACAUAUACAAUAGGAAAAAAGCACUGCUUAAUUCAAUGAGGUUAAUUUACAAAAUUAUUUAGAAUUUCUACGUGGAAAAUCAUACAAUAAGGAAAACAAUGACAGUUGUAGAUCUUUGUUCUGAAUAGGUGAACCUCCCCUUACUGGUCUUACUUCAUUAGUUGGAGCUUCAAGUACAAAAUUGAAAUUGCAUGAAGAGAGUGGACAUUGCUGUCUUCUUUCCAACUUAAUGUGAAAUUUCUUAUAUCUCGCCACCAAAUAUAUUUCUGUUAGCAUCUUUAGUAUGAUCUUAUUUAGUGGAGAGAGUUCUCUAUCCUUAGUUUAUGGUGAGUGUUUACAAUGAACAGUUUUCAGGAGUUGGAAAACACUAUUUCUUUAUCUGCCUUCAUUCCAUUAUUAUGUUUAUUUCCACUUUUACUGGGUUGCUUGAUGGGUGAUAAUAACUGUUUUGGGGGGGUUGUUGAACCAGCAUUAAAUAAUAGGGUAAAUCUUGUUUAUUCAUGAUGUGUUAAUCUUGUUACACAGCAUAAUACUAAGUUUGCAUGACCAACAAUAGAAAACAUUCUGAUAAUGGUAUAUUAGGGAAUAUUUUUAUUAUAAUAACAUCAUAAAGAAAUCACAUGGAUACACUUGUAUGGAUGCUGUGAUCCCUUGAGAUCAACACCGUAUGUGUGAUCUUCUACUUACUGGAAUUUUGUUAUGUGGUAUAUGAAUGAUAUUUGUUGAAGACUUAGUAUUUAUGCUUAUAGGAGAUAUUCAUGUAUACUUUGUUUUCUUAUAAUGCACUUUUUUGGAGUUGGUGUUAGAUUAUGAUGUUGGCCUCACAUGGGUUAGGUUACAUGUAUUACUUUUAGGACAUGAGUGAGAGUUACCCUGUUGGGCUUCUUUCUAGCAUUUGACCAGAUCAUUCCAAAAAAAUGGAACAGGAAUGUUUUCCUCCACUAGAAGAUGUUCUUGAUUCUUUCAUGACUUCAUGAGAGCCUGGAAGCCUCAGACAUAUAUUCUAUGGAAGGAGGCAUCUCAUGUUUCACAGCCAUGAAUUCUAAUAGACUGCAUAUCACCAAGCUUUAAACAAGCAUGGCUGGUACAGAAGGAUUCCACACAGGAACCACUCAGCUGAGAGAGUGUGAUUUAUGUAGUUAGAACAUGUCUCCAAGAAACCCAGCCCUAUAGAGAAAAGCAAAAGCACAUUGUUUUGUCUCAUGGGGAAAAAAACAGAAUCAUCUUAACUUUAUCAAAUUUUGAGACUCCUCAGUGACUCAGAGAUUGCUAUCUGAAGGUGUGAAAGGAGGAAUAGGGAGCACCCAGAGUGUACCAACAGACAAAAGGCUAGAUGGAUAGAGCAGAGAUAACUGGGCUCCUGGAAAGUCCCCUUAAACCUAAGGCUCUUCCCUUACACCCAAGUCAGUCAGCUCCAUGCAGGAACCGGAAAAGGGAAGCUGCUGUAGGAGAAGUUCCAGCCUCUGCCUUCCUGCAUGGUUCUCACAGUGAGUUGGGGGUGGGGCACUAUCCAUGUUCAUGAAAUCUCAUUAUAUAAAAGGACUGUUUGUCUCUUGUUUCACACAUUGGUUUCUGGGUCUCAGAAACUGCUAAAGUAUUGAUAUGAAGCAAGAAAAUAAAAUUUUACACAGCAAAA